This 847-nucleotide ribosomal RNA is filed under the name Blastacervulus eucalyptorum. Its description in RNAcentral is "partial 28S ribosomal RNA". It matches the Rfam family "Eukaryotic large subunit ribosomal RNA", at positions 72 to 943 of the family's 3401-position model. Lineage: Eukaryota; Fungi; Ascomycota; Dothideomycetes; Asterinales; Asterinaceae. The record is from RNAcentral.
GGAUUGCCCUAGUAACGGCGAGUGAAGCGGCAACAGCUCAAAUUUGAAAUCUGGCGCCUUCGGUGCCCGAGUUGUAAUUUGUAGAGGGUAGCUCGAGCCCGCCCCCGUCUAAGUCCCCUGGAACGGGGCGUCGUAGAGGGUGAGAAUCCCGUAUGCGACGGGGUGGCGUGCUCGUGUGAGCUCCCUUCGACGAGUCGAGUUGUUUGGGAAUGCAGCUCUAAAUGGGAGGUAAAUUCCUUCUAAAGCUAAAUACCGGCCAGAGACCGAUAGCGCACAAGUAGAGUGAUCGAAAGAUGAAAAGCACUUUGGAAAGAGAGUUAAAAAGCACGUGAAAUUGUUGAAAGGGAAGCGCUCACGACCAGACUCGGGCGCGGCUGCUCAGCCGGUCUUCUGACCGGUGCAUCGGUCGCGCCCGGGCCAGCAUCGGUUCGGGCGGUCGGAUAAAGGUCUCGGGAACGUAGCUCCCCUCGGGGAGUGUUAUAGCCCGGGGCGCAAUGCGGCCUGCCCGGACCGAGGAACGCGUUCGCUAGGAUGCUGGCGUAAUGGUCGUUAGCGGCCCGUCUUGAAACACGGACCAAGGAGUCUACCAUCUGUGCGAGUAUUAGGGUGUCAAACCCUUGUGCGUAAUGAAAGUGAACGGAGGUGGGAACCCUCGGGUGCACCAUCGACCGAUCCAGAUGUCCUCGGACGGAUUUGAGUAAGAGCACCGCUGGUGGGACCCGAAAGAUGGUGAACUAUGCGCGGAUAGGGUGAAGCCAGAGGAAACUCUGGUGGAGGCUCGCAGCGGUUCUGACGUGCAAAUCGAUCGUCAAAUCUACGCAUAGGGGCGAAAGACUAAUCGAACCAU